UUUUAUGAUGAUAAAAGGCCAGUGGCCUGAUCUUUAAACCCAGCUCUUCGAGCGCCUCUAUUUAAUAACGCUUUGAGGUGCAUGAGAUAAGAAUUUGGUUCUGAAAC
Molecule: small nucleolar RNA, 107 nt
Rfam family: A. fumigatus snoRNA Afu_304
Source: Rfam